Molecule: long non-coding RNA, 336 nt
Organism: Pundamilia nyererei
Lineage: Eukaryota; Metazoa; Chordata; Actinopteri; Cichliformes; Cichlidae
Exons: 3
Source: RefSeq, a predicted model, not a curated record
UCCACCUACAUCCACACCUCUACCUACAUCCACCUCUAACCCUCCAUUGAGCUUGUCAAUUGUUGUAUCGGUCUGUGUGGUGGUUCUACUGGUCCUGUUAGUGCUACUGAUUUUGUUGGUAAAACGACUUCUUCAUCGAAAACCUGAAACAGAUCAAAGCGACACUGAAGAAGAUGACAACACAGACGAUGUCAUAUACAGUGAAAUCACAUUAUCCCAACGACCAACACAAACCUCCAAAGAAAACAGAGAUAAAGGCACGACUGACAUCGCAGACGAUAUCACAUACAGUGAAAUGAAAAUAUCACAUCGUCGGCAACAACCAAUCAAACAAAG